GCCGGGUGUCGGUGGCAUGUGCCUGUAAUCCAAGUCACUGGGAGGCUGAGGUUGGUGGAUCAAGUGAGCUGAGGAGCUCUGGGCUGCAGCACACUAUGUGGAACGGGUGUCCACGCUAAGUUCGGUAUCGAUAUGGUGUUCCUGGGGGAGCCCGGGACCACCAGGUUGUCUAAGGAGGGGUGAACCGGCCAGGUCGGAAACGAAGCAGGUCAAAUCCCCAGUGCUGUCCAGUAGUGGGAUAAUACCUGUGAGUAGAUGCUGCAGUGCAGCCUUGGCGAAACAUCGAGACCUAAUCUUUC
RNAcentral lists this signal recognition particle RNA (299 nucleotides) under Oncorhynchus kisutch (coho salmon). Its description in RNAcentral is "Metazoan signal recognition particle RNA (ENSOKIG00005022632.1)". It matches the Rfam family "Metazoan signal recognition particle RNA". From Rfam's summary of the family: The signal recognition particle (SRP) is a universally conserved ribonucleoprotein. It is involved in the co-translational targeting of proteins to membranes. Lineage: Eukaryota; Metazoa; Chordata; Actinopteri; Salmoniformes; Salmonidae. The record is from Rfam by way of RNAcentral.